AUAUUUUAAAAAUUCUAAUAAAUAUGUAUAAAAAUAUUUAAACAAUAACUUAAGGGGAAAUUUUACUAUUACACUUUGUUGGAUACCACUUUUCAACUUUACCAUCAGUCUAAGGACAUUUUUAGAAAUACCACUUUCAUUAAUGAGCAAAAGACAAUAAUACCCUUACCUUAUCUUCUUCUCCACCAUCAGUUUCUCUCCCUCUCCCCGAGUCCCCGUCGUCUCUCUCUCACCGUUGAGUCACCGUCGUCUCUCUCUCUCUCCGUCGAGUUCUGGCGUCUCUCUCUCACCGUCUAGUUUUGGCGUCUCUCUCUCAUCGUCAAUCUCUCUCUCACCAUCGACCUCCGGCGACGAAAUCGAUUCAAAAUCUCCAAUAUGUCGACUCCUAUACGUGAUUCACAACUUGUAUGUCUCUAAUUUCUGUAUUUGUUUGUUCUCUAAUUUCUGUAUUUUUUGUUUGAUUCGAUUUUGUGCUUUCUUUUAUCGAAAAAUCAAACAAUGUUCUCUUAGAUAUCUCUUUUAAAGAGGUCGAUCUAAGAGAAACUGAUUUGAUAGUGAAAUGUUGAGAGUGAAAAAAUUGAGUAUUUGAAAACUUAAAUCUGGUUUUGAAGUCAUAUUAAGAUUGAUCUGAAUGGUUCCGGCUAAGAAAGAGAUUUUCCGAUAGUGAAAACUGCAUAUUAAGGAAGAGAUAAUUUCUGAUAGUGAAAACUGAAUAUUAAGGAAUUAUAACUCCUUAUAAAUCUGGGUUUCAUGAGAUUGUUGAUAAAUACAACUCAAUGAUUUAUAAGUGAAGAAAAAAGAUGCAAUGAAACAAAAGUCACAGGUACAAAAGUCACAGAUCACGAAGCCAUGGCAAACAUGAAGACUAAGUUUAUGGCUUUAUGGGAUGGGUUUUCUACUGAUCCGAAUGCGAGUACUCGCCUGUGGAUUGAGAUGGGCAAGGGAACCAGAUGAGGUGGAAGCAGCUACUUUAUGUAUUUUUUUUUGUUCGAAGAAAGUCAACGAAGGUAGGUUUAGAACAUGUCGAUCUAAGGGAAAGAGUUUCGAUAGUAAACAUUGAAUUUUCAAAAAAUUAUAAACCUUUAUAAAUCUGGGUUCAAGUAAUUUUAGGAUUUUCGUUCCUCUGUUAUCCAAAAAACAAAUAAGGUUGAUUUAGACUUGUCAUUUAAAUAGUUCUAGUUAGGAGAAAGAUUUUUGGAUAGUGAACAUUGCAUUUUAAAGAAUUAUAACCUCUUAUAAAUCUGGGGCUUAGGAUAUUGUCGAUAGUACAACUUAGUGCAAUACAAGGUUUUAUAAAUAAAGGUUGUAAACAGGAGUUGAUCAUAUAUGUCUAUAAAAACAUAUAAAUGUGUGAAUUUGAAAAGUCUCGUAUUUUAUUAUAUAUUAUUUGUAAGGCUGUUAUCGAAAUACAUGAACAUUAUGAUUGGAUAAUAUCAUAAUGUAUUUUUAGACAAGGAUUGAAAGUUAACAUCAUCUUUUUAUUUCGUCUUACAGUUAGAUAGCAAUGAAUUGCACAUCUUUGAGAUUGCCUCUGAGGAUUUAUGAAGCUGGAACAGAACCAGUAGACAAUCCAAAAGUGAUUAUCCAAUCGGUGUCUUUGUCAAUAAUGUGAAGUGUUUAUAAAAGAUUAUAAAUGUAGUUUUAUAGGAGUUUAUAAAAUUAUAAAUUAGAGAUUUGUAGAGACUUAUAAAACGUUGUUUAUUCUU
Brassica napus (rape) is the source of this 1706-nucleotide long non-coding RNA. RefSeq lists it as uncharacterized. The transcript is spliced from 2 exons. Lineage: Eukaryota; Viridiplantae; Streptophyta; Magnoliopsida; Brassicales; Brassicaceae. The record is from RefSeq and is a predicted model, not a curated record.